CGCAAAUAUCUCCCCAUUGGCCCUAAUGUAUUUCUUCUCCAAGAAAAUCCUUAUCGUCACUCAGGCUCAGACUUUUUUAACUCGCUGUUGUGGCCACAUUUUUCGGAGUACAGACAUGAAAAACACAUCAUUGUGUUCAUGAAGGACGGAGGAUUCGUACGAUGUUCUUAUUUUCAUUCUGGGACUUAAGGAAAUCACGCUAUGUGAAGAAGUUCACAGGCUUCAAAUCCUCUGCUGUUCAGCUGCUUGUCAUUCAAACAGUAGGUCAGUGAUUUGCCUUUGAUCUCACAGCUGUUUAGGAUGCAGUCAUUAAUGAGACACACACACACACACACACACACACACACAUUCUUGUACUUGUUGCAUUGUCAGGUCUACCUUGCAGUUCACCUGCUUGUACACACAGAUAAUAUGUGUCUGCUUCACCACCUAUCUCCACCCACAAACUUUGAGCUACAGAAACCAUUCUGGGCUUGAAAAAUUCAGCUCAUUGAGGACAUUUUGGGGUGUUUUGAGGAUUUUGAUAAUAAAUUGUAUUAAUGUGUUCAGCAGUUUUUGUGGUUCUCACAAGCUCCUUAUCAUGAAUAUAUACAGAGGAUGAGCGUCAGGGCCUACUUGGAGUCCUGUUUCCUUAGCUUCAAGCCUUCUUUCUCCUGCUAUAGUUAUGCAUCCAAGGUCCCCAUGGCAACCAAUUUGUGCACCUGGAGACACACAGCUGACUAGAAAGCUGCUUUUAAUGGCCAUAUGAGACAUAUGAAGCCAGGCUCAGUACACAUAGCACUGGGGAUGACACUUAAAACCCUUUUCUAGAGCGCUUGAAAAAACUUCAGCUCCUAUCUCCUCACCUGACCUUUGACCUACAGAAACCAUUCAGGGCUUUAAAAUUUAAACUCAUUGAGGACAUUAUGGGGUGUAUUCAGGAUUCAUUUAAAUUUUUCACUUUUAAAAGUCACUCAGUGAUGAUUUAUCAUUUAAUUUUUCAAACUAAUUUAAACUCAUUCAAACUGAUUCAAACCUUUCUAAUACUUUAAAAAUUUCUGAUACUUGAGGAUUUUUGAUUAUUUAAAUUUUCCCUGUUUUAAAUAAGUUUUAAUAUUUAUGCAUUACUCCAUCCUUCAAACAAAAUCCUACCUCAAGUACGACCACUACUGCUAAUGUCAAUUGAACUAGUACUUUCCCCUCUACUUCAACUGCUAUUGCUCCUUUUUCUACUUUCUCUACUUCAACUGCUAUUGCUCCUAUUUCUACCUUCUCUACUACUGUGACUUAUACUUCUUUUAUUCUCAAACUACUUCUACUGCUGACAUGACUACUAGUAUCACGACUUGACCUCCUAUACUACUUCUAGUACUACAACUUAAACUUAUGCCACUUCUCAACUUCCUGCCUUUUAAGGCAGUUUCCUUCUUCAUUCAAACUUUGUGCAAUUUUAGACAUUUUUCUAGCCUCUUUCAGCAUGAAUAAAAUUUCCUUUUAUAGAGCAUAUUCAUACUAUUUGUCCUUCAACCAAUUAAUCAAUUAUCCAACUUACAUUUCUUUUUCACCCCUUCAAACGCUUUAACAUUUAUACCUUUCUCCAUGUUUUAUUAGCAGUUUAGCAUUGCUUUUUCAGCUUUCAGCACUCAGCAUUUCCACGCAUUUUCUGCAAGGAAAUGCAAUUUUUCUAGUUAAGUGGAAAUGCUGAUUAAGCAUUUCCACUUAUUGUUAUUCUCCUGUUUCUUUAUUAAACUUAUUAUUAUUCUUCCGCCGAUUUUUGGACCGCUUCUCCUCCUUCAAACUUUGUCCGAUUUCAACCGUUCAAACUUUAAACUAUUCCACUCAUUCAGGACAUUAUGGCGUCUAUUUUUUUCCUUUCUACCCUUUAUACUUUUUGUUUUUUUUAACUUUUUGUGCAAAAUUUGUACCAUUAAAAAUGAAUGGGGAAAUCUUAAAAUCUACCUUUUCCUCUUCCACCUUCUAGACCUUAUAACUUCAGCAUACUUUCACCUAGAGACCUAAUUUUUGCUUUAAAAUGUUCAUUCACUUGUCGACUAUUAAAGUUGUACUCAGUUUUUUGAUAUCUUUUACAGUUUUUCCACAAUUUAGCUUUAAGCAACUUGUGGUUUUCAGCAAAUUUCAAGCUUUAUAAUGGGUGUGUAUUGGAGAGUUUAGAGUGAUGAUGUCAUCAGCUAGAGUGCAGACCUCGUCUCUGAUCGACAGAACCUCGCUCGAAUAUAUCGCUCCCACGCCCACAAAUCUCACUCCACUGACACAAAUAAUACAUCAAAAUGGAGGUAUAUGUGUCCUGCUUCUCACAAAAGAGGUUUCAAAUCAUUAAAUCGUACCCCUUGGCCAGCAGGUGACCAACUGUCCAAAAAAGGCGGAAAUCUCUCCCAUUGACCAUAAUGUUAUUUUUCUCCAGGAAAAUCCGGAUCAUCGCUCAGGCUCAGACUUUUUUAACUCGCUGUUGUGGCCUCAUUUUUCGAAGUACAGACAUGAAAAACACAUCAUUGUGUUCAUGAAGGACGGAGGAUUCGUACGAUGUUCUUAUUUUCAUUCUGGGACUUAAGGAAAUCACGCUAUGUGAAGAAGUUCACAGGCUGAAAUUCACUGCAGUUCAGCACCUCUCAGUCAAACAGUUGGUUAGUGAUUUGCCUUUGAUCUCACAGCUGUUUAGGAUGCAAUCAUUAACGAGACACACAUACACACACACACACACACACACACACACACACACACACACACACACACACACACACACACACACACAUUCUUGUACUUGUUGCUUUUUGAGGUCCACCUUGCAGUUCAGCUGCUUGUACACACAGUUAAUAUGUGUCUGCUUCACCACCUAUCUCCACCCACAAACUUUGAGCUACAGAAACCAUUCUGGGCUUCAAAAAUUCAGCUCAUUGAAGAUAUUAUGGGGUGUUUUGAGGAUUGUGAUAAUAAAUUGUAUUAAUGUGUUCAGCAGAGUCUUGUGUUCUCACAAGCUCCUUAUGAAUAUAUACAGAGGGUGAGCGUCAGGGCCUACUUGGAGUCCUGUUUCUUUAGCUUCAAGCCUUCUUUCUCCUGCUAUAGUUAUGCAUCCAAGGUCCCCAUGGCAACCAAUUUGUGCACCUGGAGACACACAGCUGACUGGAAAGCUGCUUCUAGUGGCCAUAUGAGACACAUGAAGCCAGGCUCAGUACACAUAGCAAUUGGGAUGACACUUAAAACCCUUUCCUAGAGCGUUGGAAAAAACUUCAGCCCCUAUCUCCUCACAUGACCUUUGACCUACAGAAACCAUUCAGGGCUUUGAAAUUUAAGCUCAUUGAGGACAUUAUUGGGUGUAUUUAGGAUUGUUAUUCAUUUAAAUUUUUCACAUUUUAAAAGUCACUCAGUGAUGAUUUAUCAUUUAAUUUUUCAAACUAAUUUAAACUCAUUCAAACUGAUUCAAACCUUUCUAAUACUUCAAAACUUUCUGAUACUUGAGGACUUUUGAUAAUUUAAAUUUUCCCUGUUUUAAAUUAGUUUUAAUAUUUAUGCAUUACUCCAUCAUUCAAACAAAAUCCUACCUCAAGUACGACAACUACUGCUAAUGUCAAUUAAACUAGAACUUUCCCCUCUACUUCAACUGCUAUUGCUCCUAUUUCUACUUUCUUUACUACUUUGACUUAUACUUCUUUUAUUCUCAAUCUACUUCUACUGCUGACAUGACUACUAGUAUCACGACUUGACUUCUUAUCAUACUACUUCUAGUACUACAACUGAAUCUUAUGCCACUUCUCACCUUCCUGCCUUUUAAGGCAAUUUCCUUCUUCAUUAAAACUUUGUGCAAUUUUCGACAUUUUUCUAGCCUCUUUCAGCAUGAAUAAAAUUUCCUUUUAUAGAGCAUAUUCAUACUAUUUGUCCUUCAACCAAUUAAUCAAUUAUCCAACUUAUAUUUCUGUUCACCCCUUCAACAGCUUUAACAUUUAUACCUUUCUCCAUGUUUUAUUAGCAGUUUAGCAUUGCUUUUUCAGCUUUCAGCACUCAGCAUUUCCACGCAUUUUCUGCAAGGAAAUGCAAUUUUUCUAGUAUUAUACUUAACACUCUCCCCAUACGUUUCUUUGGACCGCUUCUCCUCCUUCAAACUUUGUCCGAUUUCAACCGUUCAAACUUUAAACUAUUACACUCCAUCGGGACAUGAUGGCUAUUACUUUUCUCUUUUCUACCCUUUAUACUUUUUAUUAUUUUUCACUUUUUGUCUCAAACUUUUUUUCCCAUAGAAAUGAAUGGGGAAAUCUUCCAAUUCUUCUUUUUCUUCUUCCACCUUCUAAGCCUUAUAACUUCAGCAUACUUUCACCUAGAGACCUCAUUUUUGCUUUAAAAUGUUCAUUCACUUGUCGACUAUUGAUGUUGUAUUAACUUUUUUGUGCUAUCUUCUACAGUUUUCCCCCAAUUUAGCUUGAAGCACCUCGUGGUUUUCAGCAAUUUUCAGGCUUUAUAAUGGGGGUGUAUUGGAGAGGCUAGAGUGAUGAUUUGAAAAGCUAGAGUGCAGACCUCGUCUCUGAUCGACAGAACCUCGCUCAAAUAUAUCGCUCCCACGCCCACAAAUCUCACUCCACAGCCAUAAAAAAUACAUCAAAAUGGAGGUAUAUGUGUCCUGCUUCUUACAAAAGAGGUUUCGAAUCAUUAAAUGGUACUCCUUGGCCAGCAGGUGACCAACUGUCCAAAUAGGCGGAAAUCUCUCCCCAUUAGACCUAAUGUAUUUCUUCUCCAAGAAAAUCCUUAUCCCCACUCAGGCUCAGACUUUUUUAACUCGCUGUUGUGGCCACAUUUUUCGGAGUACAGACAUGAAAAACACAUCAUUGUGUUCAUGAAGGGCGGAGGAUUCGUACGAUGUUCUUAUUUUCAUUCUGGGACUUAAGGAAAUCACGCUAUGUGAAGAAGUUCAGAGGCUAUAAAUCCUCAGCAGUUCAGCACCUCUCAGUCAAACAGUAGGUCAGUGAUUUGCCUUUGAUCUCACAGCUGUUUAGGAUGCAGUCAUUAACGAGACACACACACACACACACACACACACACACACACACACACACACACACACACACACAUUCUUGUACUUGUUGCAUUGUCAGGUCUACCUUGCAGUUCAGCUGCUUGUACACACAGUUAAUAUGUGUCUGCUUCACCACCUAUCUCCACCCACAAACUUUGAGCUACAGAAACCAUUCUGGGCUUGAAAAAUUCAGCUCAUUGAAGAUAUUAUGGGGUGUUUUGAGGAUUGUGAUAAUAAAUUGUAUUAAUGUGUUCAGCAGAGUCUUGUGUUCUCACAAGCUCCUUAUCAUGAAUAUAUACAGAGGAUGAGCGUCAGGGCCUACUUGGAGUCCUGUUUCCUUAGCUUCAAGCCUUCUUUCUCCUGCUAUAGUUAUGCAUCCAAGGUCCCCAUGGCAACCAAUUUGUGCACCUGGAGACACACAGCUGACUGGAAAGCUGCUUCUAAUGGCCAUAUGAGACACAUGAAGCCAGGCUCAGUACACAUAGCACUGGGGAUGACACUUAAAACCCUUUCCUAGAGCGCUUGAAAAAACUUCAGCCCCUAUCUCCUCACAUGACCUUUGACCUACAGAAACCAUUCAGGGCUUUAAAAUUUAAGCUCAUUGAGGACAUUAUGGGGUGUAUUCAGGAUUUAUAUUCAUUUACAUUUUUCACUUUUAUAAGUCACUCAUUGAUGAUUUAUCAUUUAAUUUUUCAAACUAAUUUAAACUCAUUCAAACUGAUACUUGAGGAUUUUUAAGUAUUUAAAUUUUCCAUGUUUUAAAUUAGUUUUAAUAUUCAUGCAUUACUCCAUCCUUCAAACAAAAUCCUACCUCAAGUACGACAACUACUGCUAAUGUCAAUUUAACUAGUACUUUCCCCUCUACUUCAACUGCUAUUGCUCCUAUUUCUACUUUCUCUACUUCAACUGCUAUUGCUAUAGUUCUUUUAUUCUCAAACUACUUCUACUGCUGACAUGACUACUAGUAUCACGACUUGACUUCUUAUCAUACUACUUCUAGUACUACAACUUAAACUUAUGCCACUUCUCACCUUCCUGCCUUUUAAGGCAAUUUCCUUCUUCAAUCGAACUUUGUGCAAUUUUAGACAUUUUUCUAGCCUCUUUAAGCAUGAAUCAAAUUUCCUUUUAUAGAGCAUAUUCAUACUAUUUGUCCUUACUUACUAUACUUCUUUUUCACCCCUUCAACAGCUUUAACAUUUAUACCUUUCUCCAUGUUUUAUUAGCAGUUUAGCAUUGCUUUUUCAGCUUUCAGCACUCAGCAUUUCCACGCAUUUUCUGCAAGGAAAUGCAAUUUUUCUAGUUAUACUUAACACUCUCCCCAUACGUUUCUUUGGACCGCUUCUCCUCCUUCAAACUUUGUCCGAUUUCAACCGUUCAAACUUUAAACUAUUCCGCUCUAUCAGGACAUGAUGGCUAUUACUUUUCUCUUUUCUACCCUUUAUACUUUUUAUUAUUUUUCACUUUUUGUGCCAAACUUUUUUUCCCAUAGAAAUGAAUGGGGAAAUGUUCCAAUUCUUCCUGUUAUUCGUCCACUUUCUAUGCCUUAUAACUUCAGCAUACUUUCACCUAGAGACCUAAUUUUUGCUUUAAAAUGUUCAUUGUCUUGUCGACUAUUGAUGUUGUAUUAACCUUUUUUUGCUAUCUUUUACAGUUUUUCCACAAUUUAGCUUUAUGCAACUUGUGGUUUUCAGCAAAUUUCAGGCUUUAUAAUGGGGGUGUAUUGGAGAGGCUAGAGUGAUGAUUUGAAAAGCUAGAGUGCAGACCUCGUCUCUGAUCGACAGAACCUCGCUCGAAUAUAUCGCUCCCACGCCCACAAAUCUCACUCCACAGCCAUAAAAAAUACAUCAAAAUGGAGGUAUAUGUGUCCUGCUUCUCAAAAAAGAGGUUUCAAAUCAUUAACUCGUACCCCUUGGCCAGCAGGUGACCAACUGUCCAAAUAGGCGCAAAUCUCUCCCCAUUGGCCCUAAUGUAUUUUUUCUCCAAGAAAAUCCUUAUCGUCCCUCAGGCUCAGACUUUUUUAACUCGCUGUUGUGGCCACAUUUUUUGGAGUACAGACAUGAAAAACAGAUCAUUGUGUUCAUGAAGGAUGGAGGAUUCGUACGAUGUUCUUAUUUUCAUUCUGGGAUUUAAGGAAAUCGUGCUAUGUGAAGAAGUUCAGAACCCUAAAUUCACUGCAGUUCGGCAGCUUCUCCAUUCAAACAAUAGGUUAGUUAAUGCUUUGAUCUCACAGCUGUUUAGGAUGCAAUCAUUAACGAGACACACACACACACACACACACACACACACACACACACACACACAGAUUCUUGUACUUUUUGCUGUCAGGUCUACCUUGCAGUUCAGCUGCUUGUAUACACAGUUAAUAUGUGUCUGCUUCACCACCUAUCUCCACCCACAAACUUUGAGCUACAGAAACCAUUCUGGGCUUCUAAAAUUCAGCUCAUUGAAGAUAUUAUGGGGUGUUUUGAGGAUUGUGAUAAUAAAUUGUAUUAAUGUGUUCAGCAGAGUCUUGUGUUCUCACAAGCUCCUUAUCAUGAAUUUAUACAGAGGAUGAGCAUCAGGGCCUACUUGGAGUCCUGUUUCCUUAGCUUCAAGCCUUCUUUCUCCUGCUAUAGUUAUGCAUCCAAGGUCCCCAUGGCAACCAAUUUGUGCACCUGGAGACACACAGCUGACUGAAAAGCUGCUUCUAAUGGCCAUAUGAGACACAUGAAGCCAGGCUCAGUACACAUAACACUGGGGAUGACAUUUAAAACCCUUUCCUAGAGCGCUUGAAAAAACUUCAGCCCCUAUCUCCUCACAUGACCUUUGACCUACAGAAACCAUUCAGGGCUUUGAAAUUUAAGCUCAUUGAGGACAUUAUUGGGUGUAUUUAGGAUUUAUUUUCAUUUAAAUUUUUCACAUUUUAAAGUCACUCAGUGAUGAUUUAUCAUUUAAUUUUUCAAACUAAUUUAAACUCAUUCAAACUGAUUCAAACCUUUCUAAUACUUCAAAACUUUCUGAUACUUGUGAAAUUUAAUUAUUUAAAUUUUCCAUGUUUAAAUUAGUUUUAAUAUUUAUGCAUUACUCCAUCCUUCAAAAAAAAUCCUACCUCAAGUACGACAACUACUGCUAAUGUCAAUUAAACUAGUACUUUCCCCUCUACUUCAACUGCUAUUGCUCCUAUUUCUACUUUCUUUACUACUUUGACUUAUACUUCUUUUAUUCUCAAUCUACUUCUACUGCUGACAUGACUACUAGUAUCACGACUUGACCUCUUAUCAUACUACUUCUAGUACUACAACUUAAACUUAUGCCACUUCUCACCUUCCUGCCUUUUAAGGCAGUUUCCUUCUUCAUUCAAACUUUGUGCAAUUUUCGACAUUUUUCUAGCCUCUUUCAGCAUGAAUAAAAUUUCCAUUUAUAGAGCAUAGUCAUACUAUUUGUCCUUCAACCAAUUAAACAGUUAUCCAACUUAUAUUUCUUUUUCACCCCUUCAACAGCUUUAACAUUUAUACCUUUCUCCAUGUUUUAUUAGCAGUUUAGCAUUGCUUUUUCAGCUUUCAGCACUCAGCAUUUCCACGCAUUUUCUGCAAGGAAAUGCAAUUUUUCUAGUUAUUAUUAUUAUUCUUCCGUCCCUUUUUUGGACCGCUUCUCCUCCUUCAAACUUUGUCCGAUUUCAACCGUUCAAACUUUAAACUAUUCCACUCCUUCAGGACAUGAUGGCGUCUAUUUUUUUUCUUUCUACCCUUUAUACUUUUUGUUUUUUUUAACUUUUUGUGCAAAAAUUUUAACAUUGAAGUCAAUGGGGAAAUCUUCAACUUCUUCCUUUCAUUCUUCCACCUUCUAGACCUUAUAACUUCAGCAUACUUUCAUCUAGAGACCUCAUUUUUGCUUUAAAAUGUUCAUUCACUUGUCGACUAUUAUAGUUGUACUCAGUUUUUUGAUAUCUUUUACAGUUUUUCCACAAUUUAGCUUUAAGCAACUUGUGGUUUUCAGCAAAUUUCAGGCUUUAUAAUGGGUGUGUAUUGGAGAGUUUAGAGUGAUGAUGUCAUCAGCUAGAGUGCAGACCUCGUCUCUGAUCGACAGAACCUCGCUCGAAUAUAUCGCUCCCACGCCCACAAAUCUCACUCCACUGACACAAAUAAUACAUCAAAAUGGAGGUAUAUGUGUCCUGCUUCUCACAAAAGAGUUUUCAAAUCAUUAAAUCGUACCCCUUGGCCAGCAGGUGACCAACUGUCCAAAUAAGCGCAAAUAUCUCCCCAUUGGCCCUAAUGUAUUUCUUCUCCAAGAAAAUCCUUAUCGUUACUCAGGCUCAGACUUUUUUAACUCGCUGUUGUGGCCACAUUUUUCGGAGUACAGACAUGAAAAACACAUCAUUGUGUUCAUGAAGGACGGAGGAUUCGUACGAUGUUCUUAUUUUCAUUCUGGGACUUAAGGAAAUCGUGCUAUGUGAAGAAGUUCACAGGCUUCAAAACCUCUGCUGUUCAGCUGCUUCUCAUUCAAACAGUAGGUCAGUGAUUUGCCUUUGAUCUCACAGCUGUUAGGGAUGCAGUCAUUAAUGAGACACACACACACACACACACACAUUCUUGUACUUGUUGCAUUGUCAGGUCUACCUUGCAGUUCACCUGCUUGUACACACAGAUAAUGUGUGUCUGCUUCACCACCUAUCUCCACCCACAAACUUUGAGCUACAGAAACCAUUCUGGGCUUGAAAAAUUCAGCUCAUUGAAGAUAUUAUGGGGUGUUUUGAGGAUUGUGAUAAUAAAUUGUAUUAAUGUGUUCAGCAGAGUCUUGUGUUCUCACAAGCUCCUUAUCAUGAAUAUAUACAGAGGAUGAGUUUCAGGGCCUACUUGGAGUCCUGUUUCCUUAGCUUCAAGCCUUCUUUCUCCUGCUAUAGUUAUGCAUCCAAGGUCCCCAUGGCAACCAAUUAGUGCACCUGGAGACACACAGCUGACUUGAAAGCUUCUUCUAAUAGCCAUAUGAGACACAUGAAACCAGGCUCAGUACACAUAGCACUGGGGAUGACACUUACAACCCUUUCCUAGAGCGCUUGAAAAAACUUCAGCCCCUAUCUCCUCACAUGACCUUUGACCUACAGAAACCAUUCAGGGCUUUAAAAUUUAAGCUCAUUGAGGACAUUAUGGGGUGUAUUUAGGAUUUAUAGUCAUUUAAAUUUUUCACAUUUUAAAGUCACUCAGUGAUGAUUUAUCAUUUAAUUUCUCAAACUAAUUUUAACUCAUUCAAACUGAUUCAAACCUUUCUAAUACUUUAAAACUUUCUGAUACUUGAGGAUUUUUAAUUAUUUAAAUUUUCCAUGUUUUAAAUUAGUUUUAAUAUUUAUGCAUUACUCCAUCCUUCAAACAAAAUCCUACCUCCAGAGCUACAACUACUGCUAAUGUCAAUUAAACUAGUACUUUCCCCUCUACUUCAACUGCUAUUGCUCCUAUUUCUACUUUCUCUACUGCUGCUAUCGCUACUAUUUCUACUUUCUUUACUGCUUUGACUUAUACUUCUUUUAUUCUCAAACUACUUCUACUGCUUACAUGACUACUAGUAUAACGACUUGACCUCUUAUCAUACUACUUCUAGUACUACAACUUAAACUUAUGCCACUUCUCACCUUCCUGCCUUUUAAGGCAAUUUCCUUCCUCAUUCAAACUUUGUGCAAUUUUAGACAUUUUUCUAGCCUCUUUCAGCAUGAAUAAAAUUUCCUUUUAUAGAGCAUAUUCAUACUAUUUGUCCUUCAACCAAUUAAACCAUUAUCCAACUUAUAUUUCUUUUUCACCCCUUCAACAGCUUUAACAUUUAAACCUUUCUCAACAUUUUAUUAGCAGUUUAGCAUUGCUUUUUCAGCUUUCAGCACUCAGCAUUUCCACGCAUUUUCUGCAAGGAAAUGCAAUUUUUCUAGUUAAGUGGAAAUGCUGAUAGGCAUUUCCACUUAUUGUUAUUCUCCCGUUUCUUUAUUAUUAUUAUUAUUAUUAUUAUUAUUAUUCUUCCGCCGUUUUUCGUCCGCUUUCAACUCCUUCCCAGUUUGUGCGAUUUCAACCGUUCAAACUUUAAACUAUUCCACUCCUUCAGGACACGUUUGCUAUUACUUUUCACUUUUCUAACAUUUAUACUUUUUGUUUUUUUUAACUUUUUGUGCAAAAAUUUUAACAUUGAAGUCAAUGGGGAAAUCUUCCAAUUCUUCCUUUUAUUCUUCCACCUUCUAGACCUUAUAACUUCAGCAUACUUUCACCUAGAGACCUCAUUUUUGCUUUAAAAUGUUCAUUCACUUGUCGACUAUUAUAGUUGUACUCAGUUUUUUGAUAUCUCUUACAGUUUUUCCACAAUUUAGCUUUAAGCAACUUGUGGUUUUCAGCAAAUUUCAAGCUUUAUAAUGGGUGUGUAUUGGAGAGUUUAGAGUGAUGAUGUCAUCAGCUAGAGUGCAGACCUCGUCUCUGAUCGACAGAACCUCGCUCGAAUAUAUCGCUCCCACGCCCACAAAUCUCACUCCACUGACACAAAUAAUACAUCAAAAUGGAGGUAUAUGUGUCCUGCUUCUCACAAAAGAGGUUUCAAAUCAUUAAAUCCUACCCCUUGGCCAGCAGGUGACCAACUGUCCAAAAAAGGCGGAAAUCUCUCCCAUUGACCAUAAUGUUAUUUUUCUCCAAGAAAAUCCGGAUCAUCGCUCAGGCUCAGACUUUUUUAACUCGCUGUUGUGGCCUCAUUUUUCGAAGUACAGACAUGAAAAAGACAUCAUUGUGUUCAUGAAGGGCGGAGGAUUCGUACGAUGUUCUUAUUUUCAUUCUGGGACUUAAGGAAAUCACGCUAUGUGAAGAAGUUUAGAGCCUCUAAAUCCUCUGCAGUUCAGCUGCUUCUCAUUCAAACAGUAGGUCAGUGAUUUGCCUUUGAUCUCACAGCUGUUUAGGAUGCAGUCAUUAACGACACACACACACACACACACACACACAUUCUUGUACUUGUUGCUUUAUGAGGUCUACCUUGCAGUUCAGCUGCUUGUACACACAGUUAAUAUGUGUCUGCUUCACCACCUAUCUCCACCCACAAACUUUGAGCUACAGAAACCAUUCUGGGCUUCUAAAAUUCAGCUCAUUGAAGAUAUUAUGGGGUGUUUUGAGGAUUGUGAUAAUAAAUUGUAUUAAUGUGUUCAGCAGAGUCUUGUGUUCUCACAAGCUCCUUAUCAGGAAUAGAUACAGAGGAUGAGCGUCAGGGCCUACUUGGAGUCCUGUUUCCUUAGCUUCAAGCCUUCUUUCUCCUGCUAUAGUUAUGCAUCCAAGGUCCCCAUGGCAACCAAUUUGUGCACCUGGAGACACACAGCUGACUGGAAAGCUGCUUCUAAUGGCCAUAUGAGACACAUGAAGCCAGGCUCAGUACACAUAGCACUGGGGAUGACACUUAAAACCCUUUCCUAGAGCGCUUGAAAAAACUUCAGCCCCUAUCUCCUCACAUGACCUUUGACCUACAGAAACCAUUCAGGGCUUUAAAAUUUGAGCUCAUUGAGGACAUUAUGGGGUGUAUUUAGGAUUUAUAUUCAUUUAAAUUUUUCACAUUUUAAAGUCACUCAGUGAUGAUUUAUCAUUUAAUUUUUCAAACUAAUUUAAACUCAUUCAAACUGAUUCAAACCUUUCUAAUACUUAAAAAAUUAAACUUAUGCCACUUCUCACCUUCCUGCCUUUUAAGGCAAUUUCCUUCUUCAUUCAAACUUUGUGCAAUUUUAGACAUUUUUCUAGCCUCUUUCAGCAUGAAUAAAAUUUCCUUUUAUAGAGCAUAUUCAUACUAUUUGUCCUUCAACCAAUUAAUCAAUUAUCCAACUUAUAUUUCUGUUCACCCCUUCAACAGCUUUAACAUUUAUACCUUUCUCCAUGUUUUAUUAGCAGUUUAGCAUUGCUUUUUCAGCUUUCAGCACUCAGCAUUUCCACGCAUUUUCUGCAAGGAAAUGCAAUUUUUCUAGUUAAGUGGAAAUGCUGAUAGGCAUUUCCACUUAUUGUUAUUCUCCCGUUUCUUUAUUAUUAUUAUUAUUAUUAUUAUUAUUAUUCUUCCGCCGUUUUUCGUCCGCUUUCAACUCCUUCCCAGUUUGUCCGAUUUCAACCGUUCAAACUUUAAACUAUUCCACUCCUUCAGGACACGUUUGCUAUUACUUUUCACUUUUCUAACAUUUAUACUUUUUGUUUUUUUUAACUUUUUGUGCAAAAAUUUUAACAUUGAAGUCAAUGGGGAAAUCUUCCAAUUCUUCCUUUUAUUCUUCCACCUUCUAGACCUUAUAACUUCAGCAUACUUUCACCUAGAGACCUCAUUUUUGCUUUAAAAUGUUCAUUCACUUGUCGACUAUUAAAGUUGUACUCAGUUUUUUGAUAUCUCUUACAGUUUUUCCACAAUUUAGCUUUAAGCAACUUGUGGUUUUCAGCAAAUUUCAAGCUUUAUAAUGGGUGUGUAUUGGAGAGUUUAGAGUGAUGAUGUCAUCAGCUAGAGUGCAGACCUCGUCUCUGAUCGACAGAACCUCGCUCGAAUAUAUCGCUCCCACGCCCACAAAUCUCACUCCACUGACACAAAUAAUACAUCAAAAUGGAGGUAUAUGUGUCCUGCUUCUCACAAAAGAGGUUUCAAAUCAUUAAAUCGUACCCCUUGGCCAGCAGGUGACCAACUGUCCAAAGAAGGCGGAAAUCUCUCCCAUUGACCAUAAUGUUAUUUUUCUCCAAGAAAAUCCGGAUCAUCGCUCAGGCUCAGACUUUUUUAACUCGCUGUUGUGGCCACAUUUGUCGGAGUACAGACAUGAAAAAUACAUCAUUGUGUUCAUGAAGGGCGGAGGAUUCGUACGAUGUUCUUAUUUUCAUUCUGUGACUUAAGGAAAUCACGCUAUGUGAAGAAGUUUAGAGCCUCUAAAUCCUCUGCAGUUCAGCUGCUUCUCAUUCAAACAGUAGGUCAGUGAUUUGCCUUUGAUCUCACAGCUGUUUAGGAUGCAGUCAUUAACGAGACACACACACACACACACACACACACACACACAUUCUUGUACUUGUUGCUUUAUGAGGUCUACCUUGCAGUUCAGCUGCUUGUACACACAGUUAAUAUGUGUCUGCUUCGCCACCUAUCUCCACCCACAAACUUUGAGCUACAGAAACCAUUCUGGGCUUCAAAAAUUCAGCUCAUUGAAGAUAUUAUGGGGUGUUUUGAGGAUUGUGAUAAUAAAUUGUAUUAAUGUGUUUAGCAGAGUCUUGUGUUCUCACAAGCUCCUUAUCAGGAAUAGAUACAGAGGAUGAGCGUCAGGGCCUACUUGGAGUCCUGUUUCCUUAGCUUCAAGCCUUCUUUCUCCUGCUAUAGUUAUGCAUCCAAGGUCCCCAUGGCAACCAAUUAGUGCACCUGGAGACACACAGCUGACUGGAAAGCUGCUUCUAAUGGCCAUAUGAGACACAUGAAGCCAGGCUCAGCACACAUAGCACUGGGGAUGACACUUAAAACCCUUUACUAGAGUGCUUGAAAAAACUUCAGCCCCUAUCUCCUCACAUGACCUUUGACCUACAGAAACCAUUCAGGGCUUUAAAAUUUGAGCUCAUUGAGGACAUUAUGGGGUGUAUUUAGGAUUUAUAUACAUUUAGAUUUUUCACAUUUUAAAGUCACUCAGUGAUGAUUUAUCAUUUAAUUUUUCAAACUAAUUUGAACUGAUUCAAACUGAUUCAAACCUUUCUAAUACUUAAAAAAUUAAACUUAUGGCACUUCUCACCUUCCUGCCUUUUAAGGCAAUUUCCUUCUUCAUUCAAACUUUGUGCAAUUUUAGACAUUUUUCUAGCCUCUUUCAGCAUGAAUAAAAUUUCUUUUUAUAGAGCAUAUUCAUACUAUUUGUCCUUCAACCAAUUAAUCAAUUAUCCAACUUACAUUUCUUUCACACCCCUUAGACAGCUUUAACAUUUAUACAUUUCUCCAUGUUUUAUUAGCAGUUUUGCAUUGCUUUUUCAGCUUUCAGCACUCAGCAUUUCCACGCAUUUUCUGCAAGGAAAUGCAAUUUUUCUAGUUAUUAUUAUUAUUCUUCCGCCGUUUUUCGUCCGCUUUCAACUCCUUCCCAGUUUGUGCGAUUUCAACCAUUCAAACUUUAAACUAUUCCACUCCUUCAGGACACGUUUGCUAUUACUUUUCACUUUUCUAACAUUUAUACUUUUUGUUUUUUUUAACUUUUUGUGCAAAAAUUUUAACAUUGAAGUCAAUGGGGAAAUCUUCCAAUUCUUCCUUUUAUUCUUCCACCUUCUAGACCUUAUAACUUCAGCAUACUUUCACCUAGAGACCUCAUUUUUGCUUUAAAAUGUUCAUUCACUUGUCGACUAUUACAGUUGUACUCAGUUUUUUGAUAUCUCUUACAGUUUUUCCACAAUUUAGCUUUAAGCAACUUGUGGUUUUCAGCAAAUUUCAAGCUUUAUAAUGGGUGUGUAUUGGAGAGUUUAGAGUGAUGAUGUCAUCAGCUAGAGUGCAGACCUCGUCUCUGAUCGACAGAACCUCGCUCGAAUAUAUCGCUCCCACGCCCACAAAUCUCACUCCACUGACACAAAUAAUACAUCAAAAUGGAGGUAUAUGUGUCCUGCUUCUCACAAAAGAGGUUUCAAAUCAUUAAAUCGUACCCCUUGGCCAGCAGGUGACCAACUGUCCAAGGAAGGCGGAAAUCUCUCCCAUUGACCGUAAUGUUAUUUUUCUCCAAGAAAAUCCGGAUCAUCGCUCAGGCUCAGACUUUUUUAACUCGCUGUUGUGGCCUCAUUUUUCGAAGUACAGACAUGAAAAACACAUCAUUGUGUUCAUGAAGGGCGGAGGAUUCGUACGAUGUUCUUAUUUUCAUUCUGGGAUUUAAGGAAAUCACGCUAUGUGAAGAAGUUCAGAGGCUACAAAUCCUCAGCAGUUCAGCACCUCUCAGUCAAACAGUAGGUCAGUGAUUUGCCUUUGAUCUCACAGCUGUUUAGGAUGCAGUCAUUAACGACACACACACACACACACACACACAUUCUUGUACUUGUUGCUUUAUGAGGUCUACCUUGCAGUUCAGCUGCUUGUACACACAGUUAAUAUGUGUCUGCUUCGCCACCUAUCUCCACCCACAAACUUUGAGCUACAGAAACCAUUCUGGGCUUCUAAAAUUCAGCUCAUUGAAGAUAUUAUGGGGUGUUUUGAGGAUUGUGAUAAUAAAUUGUAUUAAUGUGUUUAGCAGAGUCUUGUGUUCUCACAAGCUCCUUAUCAGGAAUAGAUACAGAGGAUGAGCGUCAGGGCCUACUUGGAGUCCUGUUUCCUUAGCUUCAAGCCUUCUUUCUCCUGCUAAAGUUAUGCAUCCAAGGUCCCCAUGGCAACCAAUUUGUGCACCUGGAGACACACAGCUGACUGGAAAGCUGCUUCUAAUGGCCAAAUGAGACACAUGAAGCCAGGCUCAGUACACAUAGCACUGGGGAUGACACUUAAAACCCUUUCCUAGAGCGCUUGAAAAAACUUCAGCCCCUAUCUCCUCACAUGACCUUUGACCUACAGAAACCAUUCAGGGCUUUAAAAUUUAAGCUCAUUGAGGACAUUAUGGGGUGUAUUCAGGAUUUUUAUUUAUUUACAUUUUUCACUUUUAUAAGUCACUCAUUGAUGAUUUAUCAUUUAAUUUUUCAAACUAAUUUAAACUCAUUCAAACUGAUACUUGAGGAUUUUUAAGUAUUUAAAUUUUCCAUGUUUUCAAUUAGUUUUAAUAUUCAUGCAUUACUCCAUCCUUCAAACAAAAUCCUACCUCAAGUACGACAACUACUGCUAAUGUCAAUUGAACUAGUACUUUCCCCUCUACUUCAACUGCUAUUGCUCCUAUUUCUACUUUCUCUACUUCAACUGCUAUUGCUACUGUUUCUACUUUCUCUACUAUUUUGACUUAUACUUCUUUUAUUCUCAAACUACUUCUACUGCUGACACGACUACUAGUAUCACGACUUGACCUCUUAUCAUACUACUUCUAGUACUAAAACUUAAACUAAUGCCACUUCUCACCUUCCUGCCUUUUAAGGCAAUUUCCUUCUUCAUUCAAACUUUGUGCAAUUUUAGACAUUUUUCUAGCCUCAUUCAGCAUGAAUCAAAUUUCCUUUUAUAGAGCAUAUUCAUACUAUUUGUCCUUCAACCAAUUAAACCAUUAUCCAACUUAUAUUUCUUUUUCACCCCUUCAAAAGCUUUAACAUUUAUACCUUUCUCCAUGUUUUCUUAGCAGUUUAGCAUUGCUUUUUCAGCUUUCAGCACUCAGCAUUUCCACGCAAUUUCUGCAAGGAAAUGCAAUUUUUCUAGUUAUUAUUAUUAAGUGGAAAUGCUGAUUAAGCAUUUCCACUUAUUGUUAUUCUCCCGUUUCUUUAUUAUUAUUAUUAUUCUUCCGCCGUUUUUCGUCCGCUUUCAACUCCUUCCCAGUUUGUGCGAUUUCAACCGUUCAAACUUUAAACUAUUCCACUCCUUCAGGACACGUUUGCUAUUACUUUUCACUUUUCUAACAUUUAUACUUUUUGUUUUUUUUAACUUUUUGUGCAAAAAAUUUUAACAUUGAAGUCAAUGGGGAAAUCUUCCAAUUCUUCCUUUUUUUCUUCCACCUUCUAGACCUUAUAACUUCAGCAUACUUUCACCUAGAGACCUCAUUUUUGCUUUAAAAUGUUCAUUCACUUGUCGACUAUUACAGUUGUACUCAGUUUUUUGACAUCUCUUACAGUUUUUCCACAAUUUAGCUUUAAGCAACUUGUGGUUUUCAGCAAAUUUCAAGCUUUAUAAUGGGUGUGUAUUGGAGAGUUUAGAGUGAUGAUGUCAUCAGCUAGAGUGCAGACCUCGUCUCUGAUCGACAGAACCUCGCUCGAAUAUAUCGCUCCCACGCCCACAAAUCUCACUCCACUGACACAAAUAAUACAUCAAAAUGGAGGUAUAUGUGUCCUGCUUCUCACAAAAGAGGUUUCAAAUCAUUAAAUCGUACCCCUUGGCCAGCAGGUGACCAACUGUCCAAAGAAGGCGGAAAUCUCUCCCAUUGACCGUAAUGUUAAUUUUCUCCAAGAAAAUCCGGAUCAUCGCUCAGGCUCAGACUUUUUUAACUCGCUGUUGUGGCCACAUUUGUCGGAGUACAGACAUGAAAAAUACUUCAUUGUGUUCAUGAAGGGCGGAGGAUUCGUACGAUGUUCUUAUUUUCAUUCUGUGACUUAAGGAAAUCACGCUAUGUGAAGAAGUUCACAGGCUUCAAAUCCUCUGCUGUUCAGCUGCUUCUCAUUCAAACAGUAGGUCAGUGAUUUGCCUUUGAUCUCACAGCUGUUAGGGAUGCAGUCAUUAAUGAGACACACACACACACGCACACAUUCUUGUACUUGUUGCAUUGUCAGGUCUACCUUGCAGUUCACCUGCUUGUACACACAGAUAAUAUGUGUCUGCUUCACCACCUAUCUCCACCCACAAACUUUGAGCUACAGAAACCAUUCUGGGCUUCAAAAAUUCAGCUCAUUGAAGAUAUUAUGGGGUG
Molecule: long non-coding RNA, 18455 nt
Filed under: Xyrichtys novacula (pearly razorfish)
Lineage: Eukaryota; Metazoa; Chordata; Actinopteri; Labriformes; Labridae
Source: RNAcentral